Molecule: small nuclear RNA, 102 nt
Organism: Otolemur garnettii (small-eared galago)
Lineage: Eukaryota; Metazoa; Chordata; Mammalia; Primates; Galagidae
Source: Ensembl
GUGCUCUCGUCAGCAGUACAUAUACUAAAAUUGCACAUACAGAGAUGAGCAUGGCCCAUGUGCUAGGAUGACACACUAAUUUGUGAGGUUUUCCAUAACUUU